GUCUCUGUAGCGCAGUUGGUUAUCACGUUCGGCUGUUAACCAAAAGGUUGAUGGUUCAAGCCCACCUGGGGACG
Pongo abelii (Sumatran orangutan) is the source of this 74-nucleotide non-coding RNA. The record is from Rfam. NCBI's taxonomy places the organism in Eukaryota, Metazoa, Chordata, Mammalia, Primates, Hominidae.